CUUUGCUUGAAGCUGCAGAGACCACAAUACCCAAGGUAAUAGCUGUUGAAAAGUUGUUUGACAUUCCAAAUGGAUCAGGCAACGAUUAUAUUGAAUUUGAGUCUUUAAGAAGCGAUGAACCAGUAACAGAAGAGACUGUUUUAGAAGAAAUUACCCUUGAUAUGCCAAUUAUCAUUACUGAAGUAAAAACUAUGAACAAAAAUAAAUCUGAUCUGACUUAUGGGGUAUCAGAAUUUCAAGAUUAUUAUGAAAACAGAAUCUUUGUUGAACAGCCUGAAGCAGAAAGAGUCGCAACAGUAGACAACAAUAUACAUAUUGAAAGUCUGCCAAUUACUAUUAUUGAUGCAACAAUGGUGACCAGUAACAAAACUGACCUUCCCUAUGGGGCCACAGAUUUUCAAAAUACAUAUGAAAGUUGUGAAUUGGUUAUACAGCCCGAGACCGAACCAAUAUCAUCAAGAGAACAGAACGAUCCGCAACUUCAUUUAAAUCUACUCCACCGUAAUUCUC
Anthonomus grandis grandis is the source of this 510-nucleotide long non-coding RNA. RefSeq lists it as uncharacterized. Lineage: Eukaryota; Metazoa; Arthropoda; Insecta; Coleoptera; Curculionidae. The transcript is spliced from 4 exons. The record is from RefSeq and is a predicted model, not a curated record.